UACGUAGGUGGCAAGCGUUGUCCGGAAUUAUUGGGCGUAAAGCGCGCGCAGGCGGUCCUUUAAGUCUGAUGUGAAAGCCCACGGCUCAACCGUGGAGGGUCAUUGGAAACUGGGGGACUUGAGUGCAGAAGAGGCAACUGGAAUUCUCGGUGUAGCGGUGAAAUGCGUAGAUAUCGAGAGGAACACCUGCGGCGAAGGCGGGUUGCUGGGCUGACACUGACGCUGAUGCGCGAAAGCCAGGGGAGCGAACGGG
Molecule: ribosomal RNA, 253 nt
Filed under: uncultured bacterium
Lineage: Bacteria
Description: partial 16S ribosomal RNA
Rfam family: Bacterial small subunit ribosomal RNA
Source: RNAcentral